Long non-coding RNA from Jaculus jaculus (lesser Egyptian jerboa), 2781 nucleotides. RefSeq lists it as uncharacterized. NCBI's taxonomy places the organism in Eukaryota, Metazoa, Chordata, Mammalia, Rodentia, Dipodidae. The record is from RefSeq and is a predicted model, not a curated record. The transcript has 4 exons.
AGAAAUUACCCAAAACUUCAACAGUAAAAUAAAGCUGAUAAUUUGCAGGUCAUGUCAACAGAACAUAAAGAAUAACUGACUUAAGCACACUUUUGGACAGAAGGGAGGUGACUCAAUGGUAGAUUAUUUGCCUAGCAUGCAUGAGGCCCUGGGUUUGAACCCCAACACCAUCAGAAAAGAAAAGAACAUUCAAUGUCACUAAUAGCCAAAGAUCAGAAAUACAGCUUUUCACCAAAAACUUAGGAAGAGAGGAGUUUAAGGCCAUCCAGUGUUGAUGAAGGUGGUGAGAACAGUCCUCAUCACUGCUGUGAGAAUGCAAAUCUGUGCAUUCUGGAAGUAACAGAGGAAUCAAAAAGAGAAGAAAAUGACAAGUUUUGAGAGAAGGAACAUGGCCUGUAUUUUUCUGCAACAUCUGUUGAGUACCUACUUUCUGUCAGAUGUGGUGGUAGGUUUUAAAACAUGAAGAUGACUAAGGUAUGAUCCCUGCUUGUGGGCCGAUAGUAAAAUGGCGUGUAGACAGUAGAAGGCUAGAACUAUCUUGGCACAUGGGACCAGGCUUGCUGUGGACACUGCAAAUGUGAAGCUUUCUGGGAGCUGUUGAGUGAGGAGGUGUAGCUUUGGUCUAAGUAAAGACAGCAAGGCCUGGAUUACAGGGACAAGAAGAUAGAGAGAAGUGACCAAACCCAGAGAAUAGAGCUAGGAGAACCUGCCCGCUGACCUGCUACUGGGUUAAAGAGAGUCAAGGUGCCCUUCCCAUUACUAUUGGUGGUGGGAAGACACCCAAAAGAAAGAACAGGCAUGGGGGCUUGGGAAUGACUGUUGAGCUCAGUUUGGACAAGCUAAUUCAAAGGUGGGCAUCUUUGUCAAGGUGGUCUGCAAGAAGCUAGGUAAAGGGUCUGGGUCUCAACUGGAGAUUUGAGUUGGGACUGAUGGCAGCUGGAGCCCUCGACUUGGGUAAUCUGGCCCUAGCAAGAACAUGCCAGCUGAGAAGAGGGGUCUAAGAACAAGAGCCUCACCGCAGGUAAAUGGUGAGCAAAGCAAAAUGGAAGCUCUGGAGCCUGUGUUGGUAUGGAAACCCAUCAACACGAAUCAUAUCCAAAAGAGCAUAGUCAUGGGUAAGAGGACAGAGUGCCCACCAGAAGUAGGAGGGAGCCACUAGGUCCUCAGUCAGAAGUUUCCUGUAGCAGCAAGCAGCUAAGAAAAGAAUGAUCUGGGGCAGGAGACAAGUUCUAGGCUGGUGCUGGAUGGAAAUUAGACAGGACAGACAUGCAUGGAGAGAUCUGCAGGCCUCUCACCUGAAGUCCUGGUACAGGACAAAGAGGCAAGCUCAAAGGACCGGUGAUCAUGAAGGAAAGUUUUCCUGCCUGCUGGUACUCACAGAAGUGUGGGUGUCUACCAGCAGAGUGGACAGAGAACUGGGGAUGUGCUUCUAGGAUAAAGGGCCGAACUCAAAGGAAGCAGGCCUGAGAGCAACUGGGACUGACUAGAGACAGGCCCGGCAUGGAUCCUGCCCAGGAGACUGCAGGUGAGCCACAGGAGACAAGAGCACAGGGUCCCAGAAGUCAGCAAGGAGCUUCUGGAAGGAUGAGGGGCCACAGGUACAGCACCUGCACAGAGCUCAGGGGGAGGCCAGGGCACAGCUGGGCCACAGCUUUGGAGACCUUUGCCACUCGGGGGACAGCGCUCCAGUCCGGCUCAGAGAACCGGAGGGGCUGCAGGGCCAGGAAGCCACCCUCCCUCUAGGGCCACCCAGGGACAGGGGAAGGCGGGCCCAGCCAGACUUGCAGAGUGGGGACAGGCAGCAGAGGGGCCCCAGAGCAGUGGGAUUAAGUGUCGAGGUGAAAGGAUUAGGCGUGUUGAUGGAAGGAGCAGAAUUCAGUCAUGUUCCCCCAUGAGAACUUGAUCCCCGCGGUUGCAGUUGCGUUCGUUCUCCGGCGCCUCCUCCUCCCCGCGGGUCCUGACUGCAGCUCUAAUUAGCUGUGGCUCUGUCCUGCCUGGUGGCCAGGUCGGGUCUUAUGCAUUCUUUCUGCCUUUGGGCACCUAGCAACAAGGCAGCCAGCGAGGUAGGGGCAGAAUCAUUAUUUUCUGCCUGAACUCUGAUGUCUGGAAUGGAGACUUAAAUAUUUUCUUUUUGCCAAAAAUACAUCUGUGGUAAUUAACAAAUAAGGAAGCAGAAGUCAUGGUUAAACUGUGUGGAUCUCAGGGAAUCCUCCCUGGCUUCAGUGUAUGCCCAGCUCCUCAUAGUUCCAAAGGGUGAUAGCUAUUGUCCUGUUUGGUCAUCACAGCCCCAAGCACCUGCCUGAAGUAAGGUGACCGGCCAACCUUAGCCCUGUUUCACAUGGAAGGAAGCUGAGACUCAGAGAAGUAAGGACAAGGGAGUCCUUUAAGGAAUCUAGAAGGAAGACUUUGAGGUGUAAAGGACAGGACAGGAAGCUUGAGCAAGUUCACGAGCAGAUAAUGACUCCCAGAUGUGGCAAGAGUCCAUUCUUUGGUGGCAAAGGUGGAGUGACGUGAAUACAGCUGCAGUCUCCUCUGCCACCUGAGAUCCUGGUCACCCCCCACCCUACCCUGCCGGAGGCUGAGGUCGCUGCCUUGAUGUCCCAGCUUUGUUUCCUGAGGACCACAGCAUUGAUGUGCUGCUGGGUGCAAACAUGGUGCUUGGAGCUCUGACAGCCAUCAGGAGGGGAAGGAGACUCGGACCACUGUGCUGACUCAUAACUGAGAUCCUGGGACCUCUGACUUCUGGACCGUUCACACUGAAAAUGAAUAAAUGUUGUUGUU